AACGAACGCUGGCAGCAUGCCUAACACAUGCAAGUCGAACGAGACCUUCGGGUCUAGUGGCGCACGGGUGCGUAACGCGUGGGAACUUGCCCUUAGGUUCGGAAUAACUCCCCGAAAGGGGUGCUAAUACCGGAUAAUGUCAUCGGACCAAAGAUUUAUCGCCUUUGGAUGGGCCCGCGUUGGAUUAGCUAGUUGGUAGGGUAAAAGCCUACCAAGGCGACGAUCCAUAGCUGGUCUGUGAGGAUGAUCAUCCACACUGGGACUGAGGCACGGCCCAGACUCCUACGGGAGGCAGCAGUGGGGAAUAUUAGACAAUGGGCGAAAGCCUGGUCCAGCAAUGCCGCGUGAGUGAGGCAGGCCUUAGGGUUGUAAAGCUCUUUUACCCGGGAUGAUAAUGACAGUACCGGGAGAAUAAGCACCGGCUAACUCCGUG
RNAcentral lists this ribosomal RNA (433 nucleotides) under uncultured bacterium. RNAcentral describes it as "partial 16S ribosomal RNA". It matches the Rfam family "Bacterial small subunit ribosomal RNA", at positions 29 to 507 of the family's 1533-position model. The record is from RNAcentral.